This 19-nucleotide microRNA is filed under the name Callorhinchus milii (elephant shark). Its description in RNAcentral is "eshark_NOVEL_139". Lineage: Eukaryota; Metazoa; Chordata; Chondrichthyes; Chimaeriformes; Callorhinchidae. The record is from RNAcentral.
UACUAGUGAUCUGAGGAAG